RNAcentral lists this long non-coding RNA (304 nucleotides) under Gossypium barbadense (sea-island cotton). RNAcentral describes it as "long non-coding RNA (GBAR_LNC023397)". Lineage: Eukaryota; Viridiplantae; Streptophyta; Magnoliopsida; Malvales; Malvaceae. The record is from RNAcentral.
UGGAUCAAUUAAGGCAAUGAAACGAGUAUUAUGGAUAGAAAAUGUACCCGUGAUGAUAUCGGGAACAGAAACUUUCUCUCGAGCACGUAUUGCAUAAGUUCUUGUGGCUCGAGCCUCUGAUUUUGAAGUAGCAUCCUUAGCAACAGGUCGACUACCACUUGCACUUCCAGGAUGUCUCAAAGGUCUACCUCGAGAAAUAAGAGCAUUCGGCUGCGGAGUUAAUUCAAUCUCUUUAUUAGCUCGCUCCAGGCAGUCUAUGAGAAAAUGGUCAAGAGACCCACAUCUGAAACACGUACCACUCUUC